ACAAACCUCGGGCUGCAGUCUGAGCAGGAGAGCCUGCGGAACUUGUACCCAGGGGGCAACAGGUUAAAGAUUCCACGUGUGACACACGCUGCCCAAGGGCAGAUUCUGUCCUUUUCUUAAUCGUUGAUUCCCAAGGAUUUAAUGUGUGUAUGUGCUUUGUGACCCAUUGGACUAUAGCCCUCUAGGAUCCUCUGUCCAUGGGCUCCUCCAGGCAAGAAGACCGGAGUGGGUUGCCAUUUCCUUCUCCAGGGGAUCUUCCCUACCCAGGGAUCGAACGUGCGUCUCCUGCAUAUCAGGCUGAUUCUUUACCCACUGGGCCUCCCAGGGCUUAAUGGGAGGACUUAAUGGAAAGUAGUUAGACAAGUUGAACAGACUAACCUCACCCAGGGGCACAGACUGUGCACUGACCUCCUGGUUGUCUUCUCUAGCUGUGUUCUGUGGGGACCCCGGCAUCCCUGCUGAGGGGCGCCUCAGUGGCAAGAACUUCACCUACAGAUCUGAAGUCUUCUUCCAGUGCAAGUCCCCCUUCCUCCUGGUGGGGUCGUCCCGGAGAGUCUGCCAGGCAGACGGCACCUGGAGUGGCGUCCAGCCCACCUGCAUCGAUCCUGCUCAUAACACCUUCCCAGACCCUGGUACUCCAUAGUUUGGAAUACAGAAGAGUUCAGGAGGAUAUGAGGUUGGAAGCAUGGUGGUUUUCCGGUGCCGAAAAGGUUACCACGUUCAAGGCUCUACAACUCGAACUUGCCUGGCGAACCUGACAUGGAGUGGCAUCCAGACAGAGUGCAUCCGUAAGUGUGACCCUGUGCAAGGGCAGGGCCUGUCCGCUCUCCUGCAGCUGGAAGAAUUCACCUUCCUGAGAAACAUUGAGGGGCUGAUUUUUGUCUCUUUCCAUUCCCUAAACUCAUUUCUCAGAGUCUGAUUCCUUAGAACCAGCAGCAGCAGCAGCACCCGGAAUUUGGCUGAAGUUCGAAUGUUGAGUCCCAUCCUGCACACACCUGCAGUA
Molecule: long non-coding RNA, 1003 nt
Organism: Cervus elaphus (red deer)
Lineage: Eukaryota; Metazoa; Chordata; Mammalia; Artiodactyla; Cervidae
Exons: 3
Source: RefSeq, a predicted model, not a curated record